Long non-coding RNA from Clarias gariepinus (North African catfish), 1110 nucleotides. RefSeq lists it as uncharacterized. The transcript has 3 exons. Lineage: Eukaryota; Metazoa; Chordata; Actinopteri; Siluriformes; Clariidae. The record is from RefSeq and is a predicted model, not a curated record.
ACGCCAUUUCACACGGACUCGGCUAUUUGCGGUGGCUCCUACUGUAUAUGUGUAAGAUUUUUUAAGGCACUAUGGAAUGUCGAGGCUGACGUGGACACAGUGAAGCUCCAGGACUUAUCAUGGUGGAAUAUACAGUGAAUUAUAGCGUGAUAACGUUAUAAUUUUCAAUAAAUUUGCAACUGGACACAUUUAACAGUGAACUGUAUGUCAAUCAUCAACUGCCUGCAAAUCAUGUGAUUUAUACACCAGCUUUACAUCCUAAGCAGAAGAUUGUCAUUAAGAGGACGGACCUUGAUCUUCACUCAUUACCUGUGUUAAUGCCCCCUGUUAGAACUUGUUAUCAGUAUAAAAGACACAUAUUGAUAACCUCAAACAGUCACACUCCAAACUCCACUAUGGCCAAGACCAAAGAGCUGUCAAAAGACACCAGAAACAAAAUUGUAGAGCUGCACCAGGCUGGGAAUACUAACUCGGCAAUAGGUAAGCAGCUUGGUGUGAAGAAAACAACUGUGGGAGCAAUUAUUAGAAAAUGGAAGACAUACAAGACUAUUGAUAAUCUCCCCCGAUCUGGGGCUCCACGCAAGAUCUCAGCCCGUGGAGUGAAAAUGAUUACAAGAACUGUGAGCAAAAAUCCCAGAACCACACGGCGGGAACUAGUGAACGACCUGCAGAGAACUGGGAUUAAAGUAACAAAGACAACCAUCAGUAACACACUGCGCCGCCAGGGAUUCAAAUCCUACAGUGCCAAACCUGUCCCCCUGCUUAAGCCAGUACAUGUUCAGGCCCUGAAGUUUGAUAGAGAGCCUUUGGAUGAUCCAGAAGAGGUUAAAAAGUAUGGUUGACAGUUAUAAGUAAAAUACUGUCAAGAAAUAAGGAUAAAGGUUUAAAUUACCAUUCAGUUUGUUGGUCCAGAUGCCGAUAAUCGCAGAGUUGAAGACGAACGACUUCCUCGUGCAUCCUCUUCAGAAUAAAAGCUUCAUAAAUAAGUAAUGACAUUUGCAGCAAGUUCUGAAAAGUCUAAAGGACUGAAAAUGAUCUUUAUAAGGCGGAGUAUAGGGCUUAAAUCAAACUUCACUCAAGCACACACACAUGAAACACUUGCAUACACAU